GACGAACGCUGGCGGCGUGCUUAACACAUGCAAGUCGAACGGAAAGGCCCUGCUUUUGUGGGGUGCUUGAGUGGCGAACGGGUGAGUAACACGUGAGUAACCUGCCCUUGACUUUGGGAUAACUUCAGGAAACUGGAGCUAAUACCGGAUAGGAGCUCCUGCUGCAUGGUGGGGGUUGGAAAGUUUCGGCGGUUGGGGAUGGACUCGCGGCUUAUCAGCUUGUUGGUGGGGUAGUGGCUUACCAAGGCUUUGACGGGUAGCCGGCCUGAGAGGGUGACCGGCCACAUUGGGACUGAGAUACGGCCCAGACUCCUACGGGAGGCAGCAGUGGGGAAUAUUGCACAAUGGGCGGAAGCCUGAUGCAGCAACGCCGCGUGCGGGAUGACGGCCUUCGGGUUGUAAACCGCUUUCGCCUGUGACGAAGCGUGAGUGACGGUAAUGGGUAAAGAAGCACCGGCUAACUACGUG
This 468-nucleotide ribosomal RNA is filed under the name uncultured bacterium. RNAcentral's name for it is "partial 16S ribosomal RNA". It matches the Rfam family "Bacterial small subunit ribosomal RNA", at positions 28 to 507 of the family's 1533-position model. The record is from RNAcentral.